ACGCUCGACACCUACGGGAGGAGCAGUGGGGAAUAUUGCACAAUGGGGGAAACCCUGAUGCAGCGACGCCGCGUGAGCGAAGAAGUAUUUCGGUAUGUAAAGCUCUAUCAGCAGGAAAGAAGAAAGACGGUACCUGACUAAGAAGCCCCGGCUAACUACGUGCCUGCAGCCGCGGUAAUCUGAGCGGGCUGGCAAGGC
This 198-nucleotide ribosomal RNA is filed under the name uncultured bacterium. Its description in RNAcentral is "partial 16S ribosomal RNA". It matches the Rfam family "Bacterial small subunit ribosomal RNA", at positions 328 to 539 of the family's 1533-position model. The record is from RNAcentral.